GACACUAUAGCCAAGUGGUUAAGGCGACAGAUUAGAACCGCACGGUGCGAAUAAUCUGUUUCCCUCUGGGAGCGUAGGUUCGAACCCUACUGGUGUCG
Molecule: non-coding RNA, 98 nt
Organism: Trametes coccinea BRFM310
Lineage: Eukaryota; Fungi; Basidiomycota; Agaricomycetes; Polyporales; Polyporaceae
Source: the annotation of a GenBank genome assembly